Molecule: non-coding RNA, 391 nt
Organism: Salmo salar (Atlantic salmon)
Lineage: Eukaryota; Metazoa; Chordata; Actinopteri; Salmoniformes; Salmonidae
Source: RefSeq, a predicted model, not a curated record
UAAUAAUAAAAAUAAUAAUAAUAAUGAUGAUAAUAAUCAUAAUAAUGACAAUAAUAACAAUAAUUUACAGUGAAAGCAGAGCAGAGGGCUGAAGACAUUGGAAGCAGGCUGAAAAGACACCUACUGAGACAUAAAAGGACAUGGAUAUGAAGCCUCUGAUGAUUCUCCUCCUGCUAGCAGUUGCAGCAAACUUGCAAGGAAUCCCCACCACCACUCCUGCAGCAGCUGCUACCACCACCACCCCUGCAGCAGCUGUCACCACCACCACUCCUGCAGCAGCUGUCACCACCACCACCGCUGCAGCAGCUGUCACCACCACCACUCCUGCAGCAGCUGUCACCACCACGACUCCUGCAGCAGCUGUCACCACCACCACUCCUGCAGCAGCUGU